GGGGGUGGAUCGGGUCUGGUGUCCCGCCCGGACUUCAAAUCCGGCGGCAGGAGUGACCCUUCUGCGGUGGGUUCGAUUCCCACACACUCCCGCCA
RNAcentral lists this transfer RNA (95 nucleotides) under Bacillota bacterium. RNAcentral's name for it is "tRNA-Sec". It matches the Rfam family "Selenocysteine transfer RNA". The record is from RNAcentral. Lineage: Bacteria; Bacillati; Bacillota.